UGUUCAUCCAUCUUCCUCGCCUCAAGUUCUCUACUCUUUUCUCCAACGGCUGUGCUCCAGUGCCUCCGCAAGUGAGCAUUCACAGUAAGUGUUUGCAGCUUGUUCAACCUCAGCUGAUUUCCUCCACCCUCAUCCACACUCUUCUGGCCCUGUGUGACACAACUGAUGGAAUAGGUGACACCUUAACCCACAGGCACAUCAGCGAAAUCUACGAAGGAUGUGUUUAAACUACACAAUUCAUGGAUUAUGGCCUUUGACAACUGACUAGUGGGAUCACAGCUUUAUCACAACUCAACAGUAAAGCCACCAGCCUGCUAACCAGUGGUUGAAAGCUAAUGAAGGAUGUGGCUAGGCCUCAUGGCACUGGAUCAACACAUAGAUAUUCAUCAAGGAAAGGUACUUUACAGAAGCCGGAAAAGUGAAACAAGCCUCAAAGGAAACUGGUACUAGAGUAUUUUAUUUAACUACUAUAUGACAAGUCCAUCACAGAUCAUUAUUUAUAUGUCAUUUUCCUUUCGAUUGAAAGAGCUCUGACCUCAAUCAU
Long non-coding RNA from Callorhinchus milii (elephant shark), 544 nucleotides. RefSeq lists it as uncharacterized. The transcript has 3 exons. The record is from RefSeq and is a predicted model, not a curated record. NCBI's taxonomy places the organism in Eukaryota, Metazoa, Chordata, Chondrichthyes, Chimaeriformes, Callorhinchidae.